GACGAACGCUGGCGGCGUGCUUAACACAUGCAAGUCGAACGGAAAGGCCCUGCUUUUGUGGGGUGCUCGAGUGGCGAACGGGUGAGUAACACGUGAGUAACCUGCCCUUGACUUUGGGAUAACUUCAGGAAACUGGGGCUAAUACCGGGUAGGAGCUCCUGCUGCAUGGUGGGGGUUGGAAAGUUUCGGCGGUUGGGGAUGGACUCGCGGCUUAUCAGCUUGUUGGUGGGGUAGUGGCUUACCAAGGCUUUGACGGGUAGCCGGCCUGAGAGGGUGACCGGAAGUGUGGGUCCUCACACACGACAUGGACUCCGACUGGACGGAGAAGGGGACAGUGUCACAACAGUGGCGGCCGCUGGAGACGGCCACGCCGUGGGCUGUGUGCGCGCCUGCGCUUUAUACACCGCUUUCGCGUGUGACGAGGGGGGAGUGAUAGAAGUGGAAAAAUAGCCCUCCGCUACUUACCUGCCAGCCGCGGCGGUAGAACAGCAUACGUCUGAAC
RNAcentral lists this ribosomal RNA (502 nucleotides) under uncultured bacterium. Its description in RNAcentral is "partial 16S ribosomal RNA". It matches the Rfam family "Bacterial small subunit ribosomal RNA", at positions 33 to 541 of the family's 1533-position model. The record is from RNAcentral.